This 610-nucleotide ribosomal RNA is filed under the name Clostridioides difficile. Its description in RNAcentral is "bacterial LSU rRNA". It matches the Rfam family "Bacterial large subunit ribosomal RNA", at positions 325 to 937 of the family's 2925-position model. The record is from RNAcentral. Lineage: Bacteria; Bacillati; Bacillota; Clostridia; Peptostreptococcales; Peptostreptococcaceae.
UAUCGUAAUUGAAGAGGUUUGGAAAGACCCACCACAGAAGGUAAUAGUCCUGUAUGUUAAACGAGAAGACUUUAGAUAUGAUCCAGAGUACCACGGGACACGUGAAACCCUGUGGGAAGCAGGAGGGACCACCCUCCAAGGCUAAAUACUACCUAGUGACCGAUAGCGUAUAGUACCGUGAGGGAAAGGUGAAAAGAACCCCGGGAGGGGAGUGAAAUAGAACCUGAAACCCUGCACUUACAAGCUGUGGAAGCACAUUUCUUGUGUGACCGCGUACUUUUUGUAGAACGGGCCAACGAGUUACGUUAAGUAGCAAGGUUAAGCACUUAAGGUGUGGAGCCGUAGCGAAAGCGAGUUUUAACUGAGCGUUCAGUUACUUGACGUAGACCCGAAACCGGGCGACCUACCCAUGAGCAGGAUGAAGCGAAAGUAAAAUUUCGUGGAGGUCCGAACCCACGAGCGUUGAAAAGCUCGGGGAUGACUUGUGGGUAGCGGUGAAAUUCCAAUCGAGCCCGGAGAUAGCUGGUUCUCCCCGAAAUAGCUUUAGGGCUAGCCUCAAGGUGAGAGAUACGGAGGUAGAGCACUGAAUGUCCUAGGGGGUAUUGCACCU